Molecule: ribosomal RNA, 497 nt
Filed under: uncultured bacterium
Lineage: Bacteria
Description: partial 16S ribosomal RNA
Rfam family: Bacterial small subunit ribosomal RNA
Source: RNAcentral
GAUGAACGCUGGCGGCGUGCCUAAUACAUGCAAGUCGAGCGAACAGACGAGGAGCUUGCUCCUUCGACGUUAGCGGCGGACGGGUGAGUAACACGUAGGUAACCUACCUAUAAGACUGGGAUAACUUCGGGAAACCGGAGCUAAUACCGGAGAAUAUUUCGAACCGCAUGGUUCGAUAGUGAAAGAUGGCUUUGCUAUCACUUAUAGAUGGACCUGCGCCGUAUUAGCUAGUUGGUAAGGUAACGGCUUACCAAGGCAACGAUACGUAGCCGACCUGAGAGGGUGAUCGGCCACACUGGAACUGAGACACGGUCCAGACUCCUACGGGAGGCAGCAGUAGGGAAUCUUCCGCAAUGGGCGAAAGCCUGACGGAGCAACGCCGCGUGAGUGAUGAAGGUCUUCGGAUCGUAAAACUCUGUUAUUAGGGAAGAACAAACGUGUAAGUAACUGUGCACGUCUUGACGGUACCUAAUCAGAAAGCCACGGCUAACUACGUG